RNAcentral lists this ribosomal RNA (390 nucleotides) under uncultured bacterium. RNAcentral describes it as "partial 16S ribosomal RNA". It matches the Rfam family "Bacterial small subunit ribosomal RNA", at positions 355 to 762 of the family's 1533-position model. The record is from RNAcentral.
UGGGGAAUAUUGCACAAUGGGCGAAAGUCUGAUGCAGCAACGCCGCGUGAGUGAUGAAGGCCUUCGGGUUGUAAAGCUCUGUCUUUUGGGACGAUAAUGACGGUACCAAAGGAGGAAGCCACGGCUAACUACGUGCCAGCAGCCGCGGUAAUACGUAGGUGGCAAGCGUUGUCCGGAUUUACUGGGCGUAAAGGAUGCGUAGGCGGAUUUUUAAGUGAGAUGUGAAAUACCCGGGGCUUAACUUGGUGCUGCAUUUCAAACUGGGAAUCUAGGUGCGGGAGAGGAAAUGGAAUUCCUAGUGUAGCGGUGAAAAUGCGUAGAGAUUAGGAAGAACACCAGUGGCGAAGGCGAUUCUCUGGACCGUAACUGACGCUGAGGCAUGAAAAGCGU